This 631-nucleotide ribosomal RNA is filed under the name Termitomyces clypeatus. RNAcentral describes it as "eukaryotic LSU rRNA". The stretch from base 213 to 364 matches the Rfam family "5.8S ribosomal RNA". The record is from RNAcentral. Lineage: Eukaryota; Fungi; Basidiomycota; Agaricomycetes; Agaricales; Lyophyllaceae.
GGAAGUAAAAGUCGUAACAAGGUUUCCGUAGGUGAACCUGCGGAAGGAUCAUUAUUGAAGUCUGGUUGUUGCUGGCCUUUCUUGGGGCAUGUGCACGCCUUAUUCAAACCCACCUGUGCACCUUUUGUAGACUUGUGUUUGUCUACCGAUAAUUAUUUACUCCCGUAUUCAGAAUGUAUUGAUUGGCCUCAGUGCCUUUAAUCAAAUAAUACAACUUUCAGCAACGGAUCUCUUGGCUCUCGCAUCGAUGAAGGACGCAGCGAAACGCGAUAAGUAAUGUGAAUUGCAGACACGUGAAUCAUCGAAUCUUUGAACGCACCUUGCGCUCCUUGGUGAUCUGAGGAGCAUGCCUGUUUGAGUGUCAUUAAAUUCUCAACCUAACCAGCUUUUGUGAGCUGGGAUAUAGGCUUGGAUUGUGGGGGCUUUGCUGGCUUCAACCAAAGUCAGCUCCCCUUAAACGCAUUAGUGGAACGAUUUUGUUGACCUUGUUCCUGGUGUGAUAAAACCUUUAUCACCACCGUGUGCAGUCAGCUUACUCUGCUUCUAACAACGUUUAUUAAACUCUUGACCAUUUGACCUCAAAUCAGGUAGGACUACCCGCUGAACUUAAGCAUAUCAAUAAGCGGAGGAA